RNAcentral lists this ribosomal RNA (1880 nucleotides) under human gut metagenome. RNAcentral describes it as "bacterial LSU rRNA". It matches the Rfam family "Bacterial large subunit ribosomal RNA", at positions 502 to 2461 of the family's 2925-position model. The record is from RNAcentral.
CGUGAGGGAAAGGUGAAAAGAACCCCGGGAGGGGAGUGAAAUAGUACCUGAAACCUUGUGCUUACAAGCAGUCAGAGCACGUUAAAGUGUGAUGGCGUACCUUUUGUAGAAUGGUCCGGCGAGUUAUAGUCACUGGCGAGGUUAAGCAAUUCAGUUGUGGAGCCGAAGGGAAACCGAGUCUUAAUAGGGCGUCGAGUCAGUGGCCAUAGACCUGAAACCGGGUGACCUAUCCAUGAGCAGGUUGAAGUUGGUGUAAAAGCCAAUGGAGGACCGAACCCACGUUCGUUGCAAUGACCGGGGAUGACUUGUGGAUAGCGGAGAAAUUCCAAUCGAACUCGGAGAUAGCUGGUUCUCCCCGAAAUAGCUUUAGGGCUAGCGUUGUGUUAGUUUACCGGAGGUAGAGCACUGAAUUGGCUAAGGGGCGAUGAGCUUACUGAACCUUAUCAAACUUCGAAUGCCGGAUAAAUGGUGCACAGCAGUCAGACAGUGUGAGAUAAGUUUCAUUGUCAAGAGGGAAACAGCCCAGACCCACAGCUAAGGUCCCAAAUGAACGCUAAGUGGAAAACGAUGUGGGGUUGCAAAAACAACCAGGAUGUUGGCUUAGAGGCAGCCACUCAUUAAAAGAGUGCGUAAUAGCUCACUGGUCGAGUGACCCUGCGCGGAAAAUAUAACGGGGCUAAGCGUCCAACCGAAGCUUGGGAUGUCUAAGGACAUGGUAGGGGAGCGUCGUGUAUAGGGAGAAGCAUGAGCGAGAGCACAUGUGGACAGUACACGAGUGAGAAUGCCGGAAUGAGUAGCGAGAAUUAUGUGGGAAUCAUAAUGGCCGAAAAUCUAAGGUUUCUUGGGGAAGGUUCGUCCGCCCAAGGUAAGCCGGGAGCUAAGGCGAGGCCGAAAGGCGUAGUCGAUGCACAUACGGUUGAAAUUCCGUAGCCGCCGAAAUUGUUAAGCACAGGGACACAUAGAGAUAUCCGAACCCGGGCGUUGGUUGACCCGGGCGCAAGGGACCGAACAUCAGUAGGGAAGUCGGAGAUGCUCUGUGGCGAGAAAAGCUGUGUGUAUUGAUUAGGCGCCCGUACCGCAAACCGACACAGGUAGAUGAGGAGAGAAUCCUAAGGCCAACGGGAGAAGGGUUGUUAAGGAACUCGGCAAAUUGACCCCGUAACUUCGGGAUAAGGGGAGCCUCCUACGGGAGGCCGCAGUGAAUAGGCCCAAGCAACUGUUUACCAAAAACACAGGUCUCUGCUAAAUCGAAAGAUGACGUAUAGGGGCUGACGCCUGCCCGGUGCCGGAAGGUUAAGAGGAGAGCUUAGCGCAAGCGAAGGUUCGAAUUGAAGCCCCGGUAAACGGCGGCCGUAACUAUAACGGUCCUAAGGUAGCGAAAUUCCUUGUCAGGUAAGUUCUGACCCGCACGAAUGGCGUAAUGAUUUGGGCACUGUCUCAACAGCCCGCCCGGCGAAAUUGUAGUACUGGUGAAGAUGCCAGUUACCCGCAACUAGACGGAAAGACCCCAUGGAGCUUUACUGUAGCCUAAUACUGAAGAUCGGUAAUGCAUGUACAGGAUAGGUGGGAGCCAGCGAAACCCGGGCGUCAGCUCGGAUGGAGGCAACCUUGGAAUACCACCCUUGUAUUGCUGGUUUUCUAACCUGCGGCCAUGAAUCUGGUCGGGGGACACUGUUAGGUGGGCAGUUUGACUGGGGCGGUCGCCUCCAAAAGCGUAACGGAGGCGCUCAAAGGUUGGCUCAGCACGGACGGAAAUCGUGCAUAGAGUGCAAACGCAUAAGCCAACUUGACUGCGAGACCGACGGGUCGAGCAGGUACGAAAGUAGGAGUUAGUGAUCCGGUGGUAUGUGAGUGGAAAUGCCAUCGCUCAACGGAUAAAA